This 348-nucleotide ribosomal RNA is filed under the name Triticum aestivum (bread wheat). Its description in RNAcentral is "partial small subunit ribosomal RNA". Lineage: Eukaryota; Viridiplantae; Streptophyta; Magnoliopsida; Poales; Poaceae. The record is from RNAcentral.
AUGAGGACUUGCAGCCUCCUUCUCAUCAUUGUCGCCGUUGUUGUCGUGGCUUACCCCUUCAGAACGUCCGCCGAGGAAGAGUGGUAUCCGAUUGGAGACCCUGACAAUGAACCACACGUCCAAGAGCUCGGUGGGUGGGCAAUGGCGGAGCACAUCAAGCAGGCGCACGAUGGGAUCAAGUUCGUCAAGGUGGUGAGCGGCGAGGUGGCAAAUGUCGCUGGCCUGAAAUAUCGCCUCAACAUCAAAGCAUUGAACAAGAACGGACAACCUGGUGCAUACAAAGCGAUUUUACUCGAGGAGGUCAGGGAGAACGAGCACACCCUCAUCUCCUUCGGACCCGCGAACUAA